Molecule: non-coding RNA, 1272 nt
Organism: Petromyzon marinus (sea lamprey)
Lineage: Eukaryota; Metazoa; Chordata; Hyperoartia; Petromyzontiformes; Petromyzontidae
Source: RefSeq, a predicted model, not a curated record
AGAUCGCUGGCGCGCGCAGGCUGUGACCUUUACCUUUGCUAUCGUAAAAAUAUAUCGCGAACCGCAGCACUAGCUCGAUACGAGCCCAUACAUGCCGGGGACAGCGCCAACCCCCUCCCCUCAACUCCCACACAAACCCCUCCGCUGCUCAUGACCCCCGACCCCGCACCUCCUCUCCUCCUUCCCUCCACCUUCCAACCACUGCCAUCCCCCAAACCAAAUCGUCCGCAGCCACGUGGCCGCGCGUGUGGCCCCGCGUGUGGCCCCGCGUGUAAUUGCCCCGGCUCCGCGUGGCGGUGACAGAUACCGAUGGGCCCGCUCGUGCUGCGCCGCGGCGUGCGGGCUACUGUAUGAGCUUCCUUUGGGGGGGGGGGGGGUGGGGUGGGGGGACGCGGCGCUCUACUGCGAGAGCCGCAGCACACCGAGCGCUGCGACUCUCGCAAAGGCGCGCGAGAUGAGAUGGGCGCAUCGCUUGAUCCCAGCCAGUGAUACAAUCGUGCACCUUGAAGAAACAUCCUCAAAAGCCCGCGACGGACUGGGUUCACGAACCCAAUCGCUGUCAUUUCUCAACUCUUUGGACACCAAGCAGUUUGGCGGGUCCUGUGAGUCGCCCGACCUCUGAGCUCCUCCGAAGCAACAGCAACGCACGAACGAUCGAUAGCUGCGCCACUGACUCCACACCACACCACCAAAGAUUACCCGUACGGCCUGAACAGUCUGUUGGGGCAAGUGUUGUUAGCGAGCGCACACACACACGCACGCACGCCAGGCUGGUGGGUUUGCCUACACCACGCCCGGCUGCCUCUGUCUCCCCGAUGCUGAUGUCCACGCACCGAACCAGACGCAGCGCUCAUUUGGGUCCGAGUCAACCUGGAGGAGGACCGGUUCAGAUGUUCACCACGCGCGUCACUCCGAGCCCUCACGCGCGGCCCCCCGAUGGCCCCUAUCGCCUCUGGGGCCCGAGCCAGCGCGUCAUCGGCAGAGCCCUUGGGGAGUGGUGAUCUCAACCUCUGUUGGCUACUGUACCCAUCUUGUUGAAUUUUUGUUUCGACCGAGUAGUAACCUCAGUUGCCUGACCCAACGUGCUGCUGAGAAAGACCUGUAUGAAUUUCGAAUCUCAAUGCUUAUUUUUUUUUUAACCAAUUGUCCACUUGCUAGUAACUGUAAUUGAAUACAAAAGAACAUUUCAACGGACGCUCUGCAAUGCUUUUUUUUCCGCCUGAGAUACGACCGCUUGUGUUGCGAUAGAAACGUCGUGAUAUAUUAUUGUUU